This 144-nucleotide ribosomal RNA is filed under the name uncultured bacterium. RNAcentral describes it as "partial 16S ribosomal RNA". It matches the Rfam family "Bacterial small subunit ribosomal RNA", at positions 1356 to 1500 of the family's 1533-position model. The record is from RNAcentral.
ACUGCCGUGAAUACGUUCCCGGGCCUUGUACACACCGCCCGUCACACCAUGAGAGUUGGGAAUACCCGAAGCCUGUGAGCUAACUUUUAGAGGCAGCAGUCGAAGGUAGAAUCAAUGAUUGGGGUGAAGUCGUAACAAGGUACC